GACUUUGUAGCUCAGUUGGUAGAGCAAUUGACUCUUAAUCAAUGGGUCGAGGGUUCGAGUCCCUCCGAGGUCA
This 73-nucleotide transfer RNA is filed under the name Bacteroidales bacterium. RNAcentral describes it as "tRNA-Lys". It matches the Rfam family "tRNA". Rfam says of the family: Transfer RNA (tRNA) molecules are approximately 80 nucleotides in length. Their secondary structure includes four short double-helical elements and three loops (D, anti-codon, and T loops). Further hydrogen bonds mediate the characteristic L-shaped molecular structure. tRNAs have two regions of fundamental functional importance: the anti-codon, which is responsible for specific mRNA codon recognition, and the 3' end, to which the tRNAs corresponding amino acid is attached (by aminoacyl-tRNA synthetases). tRNAs cope with the degeneracy of the genetic code in two manners: having more than one tRNA (with a specific anti-codon) for a particular amino acid; and 'wobble' base-pairing, i.e. permitting non-standard base-pairing at the 3rd anti-codon position. RNAcentral also lists the same sequence under 2 other names. Lineage: Bacteria; Pseudomonadati; Bacteroidota; Bacteroidia; Bacteroidales. The record is from RNAcentral.